GAUGAACGCUGGCGGCGUGCUUAACACAUGCAAGUCGAACGAAGCACUUUAUUUGAUUUCCUUCGGGACUGAUUAUUUUGUGACUGAGUGGCGGACGGGUGAGUAACGCGUGGGUAACCUGCCUUGUACAGGGGGAUAACAGUUGGAAACGGCUGCUAAUACCGCAUAAGCGCACAGCAUCGCAUGAUGCAGUGUGAAAAACUCCGGUGGUAUAAGAUGGACCCGCGUUGGAUUAGCUAGUUGGUGAGGUAACGGCCCACCAAGGCGACGAUCCAUAGCCGAGCUGAGAGGGUGACCGGCCACAUUGGGACUGAGACACGGCCCGAACUCCUACGGGAGGCAGCAGUGGGGAAUAUUGCACAAUGGGCGAAAGCCUGAUGCAGCGACGCCGCGUGAGCGAAGAAGUAUUUCGGUAUGUAAAGCUCUAUCAGCAGGGAAGAUAAUGACGGUACCUGACUAAGAAGCACCGGCUAAAUACGUG
This 481-nucleotide ribosomal RNA is filed under the name uncultured bacterium. Its description in RNAcentral is "partial 16S ribosomal RNA". It matches the Rfam family "Bacterial small subunit ribosomal RNA", at positions 28 to 507 of the family's 1533-position model. The record is from RNAcentral.